RNAcentral lists this ribosomal RNA (251 nucleotides) under uncultured bacterium. RNAcentral describes it as "partial 16S ribosomal RNA". It matches the Rfam family "Bacterial small subunit ribosomal RNA", at positions 524 to 776 of the family's 1533-position model. The record is from RNAcentral.
UACGGAGGGAGCUAGCGUUAUUCGGAAUUACUGGGCGUAAAGCGCACGUAGGCGGCUUUGCAAGUUAGAGGUGAAAGCCUGGAGCUCAACUCCAGAACUGCCUUUAAAACUGCAUCGCUUGAAUCCAGGAGAGGUGAGUGGAAUUCCGAGUGUAGAGGUGAAAUUCGUAGAUAUUCGGAAGAACACCAGUGGCGAAGGCGGCUCACUGGACUGGUAUUGACGCUGAGGUGCGAAAGCGUGGGAGCAACAGG